GGCUGGGGCUCAGUGAUAGAGUGCCUGCCUUGUACGUGUGAGGCACUGGGUUCAAUCCUCAGCGCCA
Molecule: transfer RNA, 67 nt
Filed under: Marmota monax (woodchuck)
Lineage: Eukaryota; Metazoa; Chordata; Mammalia; Rodentia; Sciuridae
Description: tRNA.Thr
Source: RNAcentral